UUGGGUGACGAGUGGCGGACGGGUGAGUAAUGUCUGGGAAACUGCCCGAUGGAGGGGGAUAACUACUGGAAACGGUAGCUAAUACCGCAUAACGUCUUCGGACCAAAGUGGGGGACCUUCGGGCCUCACACCAUCGGAUGUGCCCAGAUGGGAUUAGCUAGUAGGUGGGGUAACGGCUCACCUAGGCGACGAUCCCUAGCUGGUCUGAGAGGAUGACCAGCCACACUGGAACUGAGACACGGUCCAGACUCCUACGGGAGGCAGCAGUGUGGAAUAUUGCACAAUGGGCGCAAGCCUGAUGCAGCCAUGCCGCGUGUAUGAAGAAGGCCUUCGGGUUGUAAAGUACUUUCAGUGGGGAGGAAGGCGAUGAGGUUAAUAGCCUUUUCGAUUGACGUUACCCGCAGAAGAAGCACCGGCUAACUCC
RNAcentral lists this ribosomal RNA (424 nucleotides) under Erwinia sp. RNAcentral's name for it is "bacterial SSU rRNA". It matches the Rfam family "Bacterial small subunit ribosomal RNA", at positions 84 to 504 of the family's 1533-position model. Lineage: Bacteria; Pseudomonadati; Pseudomonadota; Gammaproteobacteria; Enterobacterales; Erwiniaceae. The record is from RNAcentral.